This 159-nucleotide unclassified non-coding RNA is filed under the name uncultured fungus. RNAcentral's name for it is "sequence contains ITS2". The record is from RNAcentral. Lineage: Eukaryota; Fungi.
CAACCCUUAAGCCCCUGUUGCUUAGCGUUGGGAGCCUACAGCACUCGCUGUAGCUCCUUAAAAUUAGUGGCGGAGUCGGUUCACACUCUAGACGUAGUACUCUUUACCUCGCCUGUAGUGAGACCGGUCCCCUGCCAUAAAACCCCCCAAUUUUUAAAA